AAAAGGAAACUAAGGCUCAAGGAAGUGAAGUGAUUUACCCAAGAUCACAGUGUCUAAGGCAAGAUUUGAGCGCAGGACUUCCUGACUUCAGUGCUCCUAGAUCCAGUCAACUGUGUUACCUCGCUGCCCCUGAAAUCAAACACUAUGAACAUAUGUGCUGAAAAUUGUAUCUAUGUGCCAAGAAGAUGGGUAUAAGAAUGAGCACAAGAUCUGGGCAUGUGGAGGAGCCACCAGAUGCAAAGCUUGCCCCUGGCUGAUACAUAUGUUUUCGCUGACCCGUUCCACCUUCUGAGAAUCCCUGGAACCACAAGUGGGGCUGGACCCUGGCCUGUGGCAGAAAGAGGCAUCCAAAUGAUUUGAGAUGAGGAAGAGGGAAAAAGAAGAAGCUCCUGGGGUUGCUGAAGGCCCAGGAAUGUUUCUGAGCAACCCAGGAGAAGCCCUUACCGUAAGCUCUGCUGCUAAACAGACCGAGAUGUUUAGUUCUAGAACUAUAGGAUGUAAGCAGAAGGACCUUCAUCUACUCCAACCAAUUGCUACGGAAUCCAAUUUGAACACAGUGACUGGCCAGCCAAGGAAAAGUACAAGGUAGCAAUGAGGUUGGGAAGUUAGCCUGCCAUCCCCAGUUGGACUACCUGUCCUGGAAAAGAGAAUUUUAACUUCUAGGGAAACUAAUCAGAUACCACACUGACUUUUUUAGAGGUGAAAGGGGGAAUGGGGCAGGGGAAUGAAAAAUAAUACAGCAGAACUGAUCUCAACUCAACCAAUGGGGUCGGGUUGUUAAUGUGGUUUCCAGCAAACUGCUCAUAAAAUUCAUGGCAGCAGCUAAUUGCUACCAUGUUCUUCCUCACAUACUCCCAUAUUAAAUUUGAAAUGGGGAGAAAGGGAGGGGGGAGAGGAAAGGAGAGGAAAGACAGGGGAAGAGAGAGGGGAGGGAGGAGAGAGAGAGAGGAAGAAAGAGAGAGAGAUGGAGGGAGGGAGGAGAGGGAGGGAGGGGAAGAAGAGAGGGAGAGAGAGAGGGAAGAAGGGAGAAAAUGAGAGAAAAAUAAAGAAAGAGAGAGAGAGACA
Molecule: long non-coding RNA, 1065 nt
Filed under: Monodelphis domestica (gray short-tailed opossum)
Lineage: Eukaryota; Metazoa; Chordata; Mammalia; Didelphimorphia; Didelphidae
Description: lncRNA (ENSMODG00000036890.1)
Source: RNAcentral